UGGUUGAUCCUGUCAGUAAUCAUAUGCUUGUCUCAAAGAUUAAGCCAUGCAUGUCUAAGUAUAAACAACUUUGUACUGUGAAACUGCGAAUGGCUCAUUAAAUCACUUAUAGUUUAUUUGAUGGUAUCUUGCUACAUGGAUAACUGUGGUAAUUCUAGAGCUAAUACAUGCAAUCAAGCCCCAACUUCUGGAAGGGGUGUAUUUAUUAGAUAAAAAACCAACGCGGCUCGCCGCUCCCUUGGUGAUUCAUAAUAACUUCUCGAAUCGCAUGGCCUUGUGCCGGUGAUGCUUCAUUCAAAUAUCUGCCCUAUCAACUUUCGAUGGUAAGAUAAAGGCCUACCAUGGUUUCUACGGGUAACGGGGAAUAAGGGUUCGAUU
This 378-nucleotide ribosomal RNA is filed under the name uncultured eukaryote. RNAcentral describes it as "SSU rRNA". It matches the Rfam family "Eukaryotic small subunit ribosomal RNA", at positions 5 to 382 of the family's 1831-position model. The record is from RNAcentral.